GGGUAUGCCUUGUACGGCGAGUGAGCGGCAAAAGCUCAAUUUGAAUCUGGUACCUUCGGUGUGGAGUGGUAAUUUGUAGAAGGUAACUUUGGGGCUGGUCCUUGAAAAUGUUCCUUGGAACAGGACGUCAUAGAGGGUGAGAAUCCCGUGUGGCGAGGAUCCCAGUUCUUUGUAAAGUGCUUUCGAAGAGUCGAGUUGUUUGGGAAUGCAGCUCUAAGUGGGUGGUAAAUUCCAUCUAAAGCUAAAUAUUGGCGAGAGACCGAUAGCGAACAAGUACAGUGAUGGAAAGAUGAAAAGAACUUUGAAAAGAGAGUGAAAAAGUACGUGAAAUUGUUGAAAGGGAAGGGCAUUUGAUCAGACAUGGUGUUUUGCGCCCUCUGCUCCUUGUGGGUGGGGGAAUUUCGCAGUUCACUGGGCCAGCAUCAGUUUUGGCGGCAGGAUAAAUCUGCAGGAAUGUAGCUUGCCUCGGUAAGUGUUAUAUCCUGUAGAAAUACUGCCAGCUGGGACUGAGGACUGCGACUUUACGUCAAGGAUGCUGGCAUAAUGGUUAUAUGCCGCCCGUCUUGAAACACGGACCA
Molecule: ribosomal RNA, 578 nt
Filed under: Torulaspora delbrueckii
Lineage: Eukaryota; Fungi; Ascomycota; Saccharomycetes; Saccharomycetales; Saccharomycetaceae
Description: eukaryotic LSU rRNA
Rfam family: Eukaryotic large subunit ribosomal RNA
Source: RNAcentral